Molecule: ribosomal RNA, 478 nt
Filed under: uncultured bacterium
Lineage: Bacteria
Description: partial 16S ribosomal RNA
Rfam family: Bacterial small subunit ribosomal RNA
Source: RNAcentral
GAUGAACGCUGGCGGCGUGCUUAACACAUGCAAGUCGAACGGGAAUUACUUUAUUGAAACUUCGGUCGAUUUAAUUUAAUUCUAGUGGCGGACGGGUGAGUAACGCGUGGGUAACCUGCCUUAUACAGGGGGAUAACAGUCAGAAAUGGCUGCUAAUACCGCAUAAGCGCACAGAGCUGCAUGGCUCGGUGUGAAAAACUCCGGUGGUAUAAGAUGGACCCGCGUUGGAUUAGCUUGUUGGUGGGGUAACGGCCCACCAAGGCGACGAUCCAUAGCCGGCCUGAGAGGGUGAACGGCCACAUUGGGACUGAGGCACGGCCCAGACUCCUACGGGAGGCAGCAGUGGGGAAUAUUGCACAAUGGGGGAAACCCUGAUGCAGCGACGCCGCGUGAAGGAAGAAGUAUCUCGGUAUGUAAACUUCUAUCAGCAGGGAAGAUAGUGACGGUACCUGACGAAGAAGCCCCGGCUAACUACGUG